GCUGUCGAGAUGCCUAAAAAGCAUUUCAUAGCAAGGGCCGGGCAAGACCGGUGCCAGCCGCCGCGGUAACACCGGCGGCUCGAGUGGUAACCGUUAUUAUUGGGUCUAAAGGGUCUGUAGCCGGCCGGAUAAGUCUCUUGAGAAAUCUGGCAGCUUAACUGUCAGGCUUUCAGGAGAUACUGUCUGGCUCGAGGCCGGGAGAGGUGAGAGGUACUUCAGGGGUAGGGGUGAAAUCUUGUAAUCCUUGAAGGACCACCAGUGGCGAAGGCGUCUCACCAGAACGGACCUGACGGCAAGGGACGAAAGCUAGGGGCACGAACCGGAUUAGAUACCCGGGUAGUCCUAGCCGUAAACGAUACUCGCUAGGUGUCGGCCACGGUGCGACCGUUGUCGGUGCCGUAGGGAAGCCG
Molecule: ribosomal RNA, 410 nt
Filed under: uncultured archaeon
Lineage: Archaea
Description: bacterial SSU rRNA
Rfam family: Archaeal small subunit ribosomal RNA
Source: RNAcentral